CCCCACCCCGCACGCACGCACCCGAAAAACCCACCCGACACCAAACGCGGCUCCUCUCGAUCCCCUCGAGAGUAAACGCCGCCGCCGUCCUCUUCCUGACGCAACCGCAGGUCACAGCGCCGCCGCCAACAUCCGAGAGUAGCCGCCGCGCCUGAGGACCGAGAGGAGCCGCCACCGAGAUCCGAGACUAGCCGCUGCGGCUGAGGAACGAGAGGAGCCGCCGCCUCCAGGUUGCGACUGUGACACACCGCCGCCUCCAGGUCGCCGCCGAGGUCCGCAAUCGCCGAAGCCGGCCGGCCCUCACCUCCAUCGACCUCCUCUCGGAUGGAUCCUGCACGUCGCUAGAUCGACGGAAGGGGACCUCCACCACCGCCAUUCUUCUCCGUCCCCGACCUCCCGUCACCGUGCUCCCCGGAUCUGGCCGUGGCCACAACCGGCGGAGCUUCCCGGCCACCGCCGACGACGCCAGCAAGGUAGCCACAGUCGUUGUUGCCAGAUCCAUGGAGGAGCGUACCCCGGCCUUCUCCUCGUUUUCCUCUUGUUGUAUGCCUUUAUGCAUAUUGCUAUGCGUUAUCACUAACACAUUGGCAAUGCAACACCUUCUGGAGAUAGCAUUGAUGGUAGUACACAUGUUUUGUACUGUAAGCCAUUGCAUUUACCUAUAGGAAUACGCAACUCACAGUUCUAGCUCUCUGUAUGUUUUCGGUACAUGUUCGGAAUAUCUGCUACUAGGUGCAUACAAGAUGAAUCUUCAAGACAUGCUAUCUUGCUUCGUAAGUACUGCUAUUUAAGGUGAGCCUUGCAGAACUAUCUUUUAGUGUUUCCAGUUUAUCCUAAAGUAUUUUAGCCUAAAUUUCCUGUCAUUUAUAUAGAUGUGGGUUAUGCUAAUCUGACUUGGUAAGUUAUGGUAUUGUAGCUACUGCACAUGUCCCUCGAUUUCCCAGUUCCAUGUGUCAGGAUGCUAAUGUGGGUGUUACUAUAUUGCCUUCCAGUUUAUCCUAAAGUAUUUUAGCCUAAAUUUCUUGUCAUUUAGAUAGAUGUGGGUUAUGCUAAUCUGACUGGUGGGUUAUGCUAAUCUGACUGGUAAGUAUGGUAUUGUAGCUACUGUACAUGUCCCUCAAUUUCCCAGUUCCAUAUGUCAGGAUGCUAAUAUGGGUGUUACUAUAUUGCCUUCCAUUUUGUAAUAUGUUAUGUUUGCAAUUUCUCAGGGCCGCCGCCGCCGCCGUCCGUAGCAACGCAUAGGCCGCUUGCCCAGCUCCCUCAUUCCGAGCACGACACCACGCGUCGGAGCUUGUCGGGAGGCACGGAAGGACGAACAGAGUUCUACCGGUGAUCCGUGUUGUCGCCGACGGUGUCAUAGGAUCUGCGGUGACAAGGCGAUGGGGCUGCCAACCUACCUCCUCUUCACCACAGCGCAUGUGGAUUCUUGGGCUACCUCAACUUGGAUCAGCUUUUUCAAGAGGGGAUGCUUGCCAUUCAGAGGUAAAUGGUGCUCUUCAAUUUUGUUGUUGUUUGAUCUGGCUUGCAGUUUCUACAAAUGAUGUGAGGAUUGGCUUUGGGUAGUACAUCAUCUGCUCCAGUGUCUAAUUGCACGCAUAACAAUCACUUGAUUUAUGCGCUUCAACCUUCAAAUAGUUUGUAAUUUAUAGAAUUCACUACGGCACUUGUUCAUUCAUGUAUAUGUGGCUGGAUCUGAUGGAGAAGAUAAAGACAACUAAUACGCUGAAAAUGAUUUUACAUCCUGGUUCGAAAAGUAAAAGGGAAAUCUUCGAGUAAAUGUAUGUUCUACUGCAAAGGAACUUCCCGAGGGAUCCCAUUGAAAUUGAAAGUAUGUUUCUUUUUUUAUUCCUAUGCAUACUAAAUGUGCAUCUUGGCCUGGCUCUUGGCACACGCACAAUCCAUCAGAUGAACAGAGCACUCUUGGAGCGUGUUCUGUAAAUGUAUUCCUGGUCUGUCUACAACCUUAUUUUAUGGUCACAUACUAACACACCUUUUCAAAUUUUCUCUAAUAGAUCCUACUCUGUUUUAGGACUUCUAAUUGUUUCUCACUGCCAUGACCAAUGCAGGAUGAUGGUGGCUUCUUCAAAUAUGUGCAAGAUAUGUCCUGUUUAGCAUCACUGGAUUUUUGAAAACGUUAUAUCUGAAUUUAGAGUGCACUUCUGCAAAAAAGGUUUUGUCCUGAUUACUAUUCCGAUUUUAUUUCUGCAGGCACUGUGAAAUGACCGAAUGCCGCUAAUCAUUUUGGAGGUUUGUUGUAGGGUGCUCUACCAGGUCAUAAUAUGCACCCACACAAUUCAAGUUCAUAUUCUGGAAGGACAUUGACCAACGAACCUUGUAGUAAUGUUACAGGUCAUAAAAUUGUGUAUUCCUACUAACCAUCAUUGCAUGUGUGCAGUGGUUAGAGAUUUUGUAAUGGAUAAUCAAUUAUCUUUAUCUGCUUCUAACUCAAGGAAUCAUACUGCAACAUUUCCUCCAGUGCAGGCAAACUCGAAUGAUAGUUAGUAAACUUGAAAAUCUGGGUGAUGAAGCUGACUCAAUAGAUCCAGAUUUUGGCCGCUAAAGCUGGUAGUGCAUCCUUGUCUAUGGUGUGGACAGAGGGAGAAAGGAGGCAAUUAACUACGGUCUGAAUGUAAAAA
Long non-coding RNA from Triticum aestivum (bread wheat), 2636 nucleotides. RefSeq lists it as uncharacterized. The record is from RefSeq and is a predicted model, not a curated record. The transcript is spliced from 3 exons. Lineage: Eukaryota; Viridiplantae; Streptophyta; Magnoliopsida; Poales; Poaceae.